RNAcentral lists this long non-coding RNA (2359 nucleotides) under Sus scrofa (pig). RNAcentral's name for it is "lncRNA (ENSSSCG00000061444.1, ENSSSCG00090002463.1, ENSSSCG00130006101.1)". Lineage: Eukaryota; Metazoa; Chordata; Mammalia; Artiodactyla; Suidae. The record is from RNAcentral.
GACACCAGCAGGCAGUAGCCAAGCUCUGCCCCAAGGAGCAGUGACAGAGCAGUCGAAACAGUCUUUGUCACACAAGCCGCAUCGCUUCCAACAGACGACGCCAGCCACCGGGCAGCCGCGGUGGCUCCAUCAGCAGCUCCUUCCACCGGUUUCCUCUCCCACCCAGCUAAUUCCCCCGAGACCCCAGCCUGAGGACUGAUGUGUCACGAGAACCAACCCCCAGGGACGUCUGCAGAGUGGGCUGCGUGGAGCCAAGGCUGGAGUCCAAGGCCCUGUUUCCUAGUGGGUCCGUUGCCCAGUGGUUAACCUGACGUCAGCAGAAAUUCUCUGCGGAGGUCCUGGGCUGCACUAGCACGCACCACUGGAUUCAGAAUCACCAGGAGUGGGUCUGCACUGUCAGGCUUUCAUGAGAGCCCCACCCAGCUGUAAAGGUACAGCUGUCACUGUCAAGAAAACUGUAAGUAGCUUUAAUAUACAGUUUCAUUUGCUUGACUAACAGCCGGGCGCAGAUCAUCAAAGAAUGGCUUGGGGUGGAGAAUUUCAUAUGAGAAUCCAGCUGGGGCUGCCAAGCCAUGUAUGUGCUAAUGUUGCAAUUUCCAUCCUGCACUUGAGGUCAAGAUUAAUUCAGUGAAAAAUGUUAUUUCAUAGUGUAGCAGACAUCUUCUGAGUUGAAGAGCAGGAGGGAUCCAGGAGUUUAGGUGAGGCAGGGGGUGUGUUUUGCUGAAUGGUAAAAGGAGGGAAUUCUUUGAAAAUUCCAUGGACAACCAUUAUUUUCCUUGGCCUCAACAUUCAACUCUGCCAUCACAGCACAAAAGCAGCCCCAGAUGAACCAGAUGGUUCAUCAAUGAUGUUGCUAGGUUCUAGUAGAAUUUGAUUUGUGGACACUUAACACUUGAGUUUCAUAUGAUUUCACGUGUUACAAAAUCUUCUUUUUAUUUUUUUUCUACCAUUUAAAAAAUGUAAAAGUAACUCUUAGUUCAUAAGCAGUGCAAAAAUAACUGGUGGGCUAAAUCUGGCUCCCAGGCCAUAGUUUUCUGACCCUGCGAAUCAAGGAUUUCCUCUCUCCAUCACCCAGUUUCAACCAAAAUCAACUCAUGGUAGAUCUUGUUUCAUCUCGCCCCCUAUUCUUUCUCCUUCCCCCGGAUUCUUGGAAGCAAGUGGUAAUCAACAAAUUAUUUCAUCCGUAUUCAUAUUUCAGUAUUGAUCUCCAAAAGAAGACUCUAAUUUUAGGCGUAAAAGUGCAAUAUCAUGUUCAUAACUAAAAAUAUAUAUCAUAAAAUAUCCAGUUAGUAUUCAGUGUUUCCAGCUGUCUUAUCAAUGGUCAUCAUGUUUUGAGUGCCCCCCCUGCCCCCCAGUUUGUCUGAAUCCAGAUCUUAACAAGGUUUCUCUAUUGCAAUUGCUCAAUAGGUCUCCUGAGUCUUUCUCUCUUUUUUAAAUCAAAGUACUACUUUAUUAAAUGAGUUAUUUUACACAAUAUGAACAUCAAUAUAAUUACAAUUGUAAAAAAAAUUUUAUGACAAGGAUGGACUGAUUUUCAGAUUUCCAAAUCAGAGUUAACUGUACAUUUACACAGAAUGGUCUUUGCAUGAGGCCCAAAAGGGAACCCCAGAAAAAUGAGUGUUUCUGUAGUCCCUUUAUUUUUGCUGAUCAACAGUUUGUUAGAAAAGCAGCUGCAGGUUUGUUACCUAAGGUCUGAGACAGAAGGCGAGUCAGAGGUGUCAUGAGUUCACCUGUAAACAACUUCCUGCCUGAACAUCAACUAAUUCUGGAGGAAGUGGAGUCGGGAUGCCUGCUGUUAAAGUGCUGCUUGAUCCUGAGUCUCUGGUAUCCUACAGUCUGCAUUCUGCUGGUUGCCUCCCUGAGUUGUGAUUGGGCCUGUUGCUUUGUUCUGCGAAUUUUCUACAGGGCGAUGGUAUUUUGUGCCAAUUGGAAGUUUAGAGCGAAAGGCUUGAUGAGACUCAAGGGUUUUGUUUGUUUCUUUCAGUCUGUUUUCCUGAGACGGGGUGUAAUUCUCUUCUUCCUUCGGGAAGGCACAGAACCUGUGGUCGUUUCUCUGUUUCUUCAUCAACAGCCAUUGACGACUGUUGCCUAGAUACAAUUCCUUUAAAAAAUGAUAAGUGGGGAGUUCCCGUCGUGGCGCAGUGGUUAACGAAUCCGACUAGGAACCAUGAGGUUGCAGGUUCGGUCCCUGCCCUUGCUCAGUGGGUUAACGAUCCAGCGUUGCCGUGAGCUGUGGUGUGGGUUGCAGACACAGCUCGGAUCCCGCGUUGCUGUGGCUCUGGCGUAGGCCGGUGGCUACAGCUCCGAUUGGACCCCUAGCCUGGGAACCUCCAUAUGCCGUGGGAGCGGCCCAAGAAAU